GGUUAAGUUAAUAAGGGCACACGGUGGAUGCCUUGGCGUUAGGAGCCGAAGAAGGACGCAGCGAACUGCGAUAAGCCUCGGG
This 82-nucleotide ribosomal RNA is filed under the name Brevibacillus laterosporus. RNAcentral's name for it is "partial 23S ribosomal RNA". It matches the Rfam family "Bacterial large subunit ribosomal RNA", at positions 1 to 82 of the family's 2925-position model. The record is from RNAcentral. Lineage: Bacteria; Bacillati; Bacillota; Bacilli; Caryophanales; Paenibacillaceae. RNAcentral also lists the same sequence under 1 other name.